GUGUGUUUGUCUGACGACGAAGCUCGUACCCCGUUCUCUUUUGAGCUUCCUUGCAUCCUUCAUCAGUUGUUCAUAAUCGUCUAGUUCAUUGGUAUCCUCGGAAGUACCCUCCAUGGGUUGUUGUGAGCUUUCGUUUCCACUUUCGGCAGCAACGCUUCUCGCCCUGAUAUUUGUCUCCGAGAGCGCAGCUUGCAACUCGGCUUCCAGCUCCGUCAGGUCUAUUUCUUCGUCGAGCUUUUCUUCUUCGUCGCUGAGGGCUACGGCUGAAGAAAAAGAAGCAUGGAUACACGGUACGAGUUUUUUCUGGGUAGGGAAGGCUGAGCGAUUAUGUGCGUUGCCCGCAGAAAUGAACAGCCAGCACUCGCAAAAAGGCGUCGAAGAAAAGGGGAUGGGUUUUUGAAACUACAGAACGUGGCAAGUUUAUUCAUCUCCAAAUAGACACAGCUAUUGUUUUUUAGUCAUGAAGCACUGGCUUGUUGUCAGAUGAAUGGUGUGUGAUGGCUGUGGCAAGAAGCAGCUAGGCAGCUUCCGUGGAUUGACAUUCACGGAGUUUGUGGUAACACUUCUCCGGAUUCAAAAUGUUUGUAAGUGGAAAAACAUGCUCGCUGAAACGGCACUUGGAAACUCUUGUGUGGAAACGUCUUGAAAGGUGGUUCCCUUUUACGACGAUAACGAAGCUGAAUGUAUAGAAUAAAGCUUCACAGAGUGCACGUGUCGGCGCUAAAUAUGACCCGAAUGUAAAUUUGGUCGGAAUCCAAUCGUUCGUCAUGUAGAUCAACGGAGCAGUGAUCCCGCAGGCUCCGGUGUUGCGUAAACGAACAAGCGGUAACAUGCUUUCUGUGUUGUUCCCAAAGAAAUGAUGGAUGUAGGAUCGUUCUUCCGGUGAGGACGAAAAUGCAAGCGCCGCUGAAGAGGGAACAUGAUAAUAGGGUAAACUAGAAAGACGCGCUUUGCCGACCCCCUGCGAGUAAGAAGGCAGACAUUCAGCUAAGCACGCAGCCAGGAGACGAAGCCUGUGGUUCGUGCUUUGGACAAAAAUGCGAAAUGCGAUCUAGAAGACGACGCGCAGCCGUCAAGAGUGCCGGUGGCAGAACCCAACGUGCUUCGAAAGAAUGGAAACCAUCCGAAUCCCCAUAGACGCACGCUCGAUUAUGUAUUCUGUUUCUUCCGGUCCCUCUUGAGACAAAUUCGCCGAAGGAACCUUCUCAUCUGGCAAAGGACGUUUCGCCGUAUGAGUUGGUGACAGCAGCGGAUCCGACGGCGCCGAUCCCUGUGAGUGGAGUGCUUCGUCCUCCAUCUUCCUGUCUGUUUCCUGCCCAGACCGAAU
This 1327-nucleotide long non-coding RNA is filed under the name Toxoplasma gondii VEG. Lineage: Eukaryota; Apicomplexa; Conoidasida; Eucoccidiorida; Sarcocystidae. The record is from RNAcentral.